GACAGAGGAUGCAAGCGUUAUCCGGAAUGAUUGGGCGUAAAGCGCUUGUAGGCGGCACGUCAAGUCGCGUGUGAAAUCCCCAGGCUUAACCUGGGAAGUGCGCGCGAAACUGACGAGCUUGAGUGCCGGAGAGGGUCGCGGAAUUCCCGGUGUAGAGGUGAAAUUCGUAGAUAUCGGGAGGAACACCAGUGGCGAAGGCGGCGACCUGGACGGACACUGACGCUGAGACGCGAAAGCGUGGGGAGCAAACAGG
RNAcentral lists this ribosomal RNA (253 nucleotides) under uncultured bacterium. RNAcentral describes it as "partial 16S ribosomal RNA". It matches the Rfam family "Bacterial small subunit ribosomal RNA", at positions 524 to 776 of the family's 1533-position model. The record is from RNAcentral.